CCCUAAUGAUCUCACUUUUCUCUAUUUGUGCAGUGGCGUUGAUUCACCAAUCCAUGGUUAUGAAGCUAUAUUUCCACAUACCUUCAUGUUGUAGUAGUUUUUACUUAAGUGUAGUUGUCCAAUGUCAGAUUUAAAAACCAAUAAAGGCAUAUAGAGAGAGUUUGUUUCAGAAAAGGUACCAAAUCCAUCCAAACAAAUUUUACAGGAGUCAAAAGAAUGCAAAGGACAAGCAUUCCUUUGCUAUAAAAUACAAUUUUCCAAGACCUGUACUGAAGUGAUUUGAUACAUUUUGAUCUGUACACAAUAUUCUACCAACAAUGUGCUGCCACCUACAACUGAUUUUUAUUUUAUUUUUUGCAUUUGGUUAUAUAGAUACUAGGCUUGAUCGAUCCAUGAAAAAUUUGAUUCUAAACUCGUUUCAAAACUAGAGGGGGCAGUUUUUUCGUUUUUGUUGCUAAUAACGAAUUUGGCCCCCAAAAUUUUUCGAAAUUAACGAAAAUUCGUUAUUUUCUAAAUUAAUUCGUUAAUGGCGUACGCGCAUGCGCGGUGGCCCAAAAACAGCCCGAAGGGGGGGGGGACUUAGGGGGCUCUCCCGCCCUCAUUUUUUGAGUGAUCUUCUUCAAACUUGGUACAGUGGUAGAACACAUUUAACACUGAUAGCUCACCAAAAUGUGGAACGUUUCCCUUAUCCUCUGAUUUUUGGCAAAUUUUCAUAGCUUUUAUAAUAAACCUUUUUUUAAUAAUUGCAGUAAUCUGUUCCUGGUUUGAAAGUCUUAUUUCCUGUUAAAUUGGGUUGUCUUUACUGUGAAAGUCAUUGUUCUACUUCAGAAACUUUGUUUUUGUGACUGAAACUUUGUUAAAUUGGUGUGUGUGUGAUAUAUAUUGUGUAUAUAUAAUAUAUAUAUAGUCCCUGCUUGUGUGUGUGUGUGUGUGUGUGUGUGUGUGUAGGUAAAGGUAAAGGUAUCCCUUGACGUUAAGUUCAGUGAUGUCUGACUCUGGGGGUUGGUGCUCAUCUCCAUUUCUAAGCCCAAGAGCCAGUGUUGUCCAUAGACACCUCCAAGGUCAUGUGGCCGGCAUGACUACAUGGAGUGCCAUUACCUUCCCAGAAACACCCAGAAAAUGGCAAUUCCAGACAGGAAACAAUCAGGGCCAGCUAAUACCUCCCAACAAAGGAUUCCCCCAGGUAGGAAGCAGCCAGGCUUUGAAGCUGCAAGGCUAUUCAAUGCUAAUCAAGUGUGAAUGUUGCAAUUGGUCACCUUGAUUAGCAUUGAAUAGCCUUGCAGCUUCAAAGCCUGGCUGCUUCCUACCUGGGGGAAUCCUUUGUUGGGAGGUAUUAGCUGGCCCUGAUUGUUUCCUGUCUGGAAUUCCCAUUUUCUGGGUGUUGUUCUUUUACUGUCCUGAUUUUAGCUUUUCUGUAGCUAAAAAUGCAUAUAAAAUUGAUUCUAUAGGGAGGAUAAAUGAUUGGAUUUCAACUCCUACAGCUUGGCUUUCUCUGCCAAUAAUGGUACCCAUCUUGGAUAUUGUAAGGGAUUUAUUAUUAUUAUUAUUAUUAUUAUUAUUAUUAUUAUUAUUAUUAGACCUUGCUCCCAGGAAGGUGCCUUCGCUGUGGCUCCCAACUUAUCUAUCUAUACCUUUCCACAUAUUCUCCACAUUGUGUGUAUGUGUAUGUAUAUUAUAUAUACAUGAGCCCCGAUGGCGAAGUGUGUUAAAGCACUGAGCUGCUGAACUUGCAGACCGAAAGGUCCCAGGUUCAAAUCCCGGGAGCAGAGUGAGUGCCCGCUGUUAGCUCCAGCUUCUGCCAACCUAGCAGCUUGAAAACAUGCCAAUGUGAGUAGAUCAAUAGGUACCGCUCUGGCGGGAAGGUAAUGGCACUCCAUGUAGUCAUGCCGGCCACAUGACCUUGGAGGUGUCUAUGGACAACACUGGCUCUUGGGCUUAGAAAUGGAGAUGAGCACCAACCCCCAGAGUCAGACAUGACUGAACUUAACGUCAAGGGAUACCUUUACCUUUACCUAUACACACACACACACAAACACACACACACACACAUAUGCAGGGACUAUAUAUAUAUACACAGUAUAUAUCACACACACACCAAUUUAAUAAAGUUUCAGCCACAAAAACAAAGUUUCUGAAGUAGAACAAUGACUUUCACAGUAAAGACAACCCAAUUUAACAGGAAAUAAGACUUUCAAACCAGGAACAGAUUUCUGCAAUUAUUAAAAAUGGUUUAUUAUAAAAGCUAUGAAAAUUCGCCAAAAAUCAGAGGAUAAGGGAAACGUUCCAAAUUUUGGUGAGCUAUCAGUGUUAAAUGUGUUCUACCACUGUACCAAGUUUGAAGAAGAUCACUCAAAAAAUGAGGGUGGGAGAGUCCUGUAAAGUCCUCUCCCUCUGUGCUGUUUUUGGGAAUUGCGCAUGCGCGUCCGCCAUUAACGAAUUAAUUUAGAAAAUAACGAAUUUUCAUUAAUUUCAAAAAAUUUUGGGGGCAAAAUUCGGAAAUACCUUCAAAAACGAAACGCUGCCCCCCUCUACUUUUGCAACGAGUUUAGAAUCAAAUUUUUCGUGGAUCGAUCAAGCCUAAUAUACAAUAUACAAUAUAAUAUACAAUAAUAUAUAAUAAUUAUAACAUAUUGUAUAUACAGUAGAAUCUCACUUAUCCAACAUAACCGGGCCGGCAGAACGUUAGAUAAGCGAGUAUGUUGGAUAAUAAGGAGGGAUUAAGGAAAAACCUAUUAAACAUCAAAUUAGGUUAUGAUUUUUCAAAUUAAGCACCAAAACAUCAUGUUUAACAAAAAAAAUUGACAGAAAAGUAGUUCAAUACUCAAUAAUGCUAUGUAGUAAUUACUGUAUUUAUGAAUUUAGCACCAAAAUAUCAUGAUGUAUUGAAAACAUUGACUACAAAAAUGUGUUGGAUAAUCCAGAACGUUGGAUAAGCGAGUGUUGGAUAAGUGAGACUCUACUGUUCAUAUAAUAUUCAUAAUAUUAUAUUGUAAUACAAUAUAAUACUAAUAAUACAAUAUAUUGAUACAGUACAAUAUAGUAAUUUAUUACCAGUAUUGUACUAGGCUAAUAAUAUAAUAUUGUAUGUAAAUUUAAUUUGUAAGCUGCUCUGAGUCCCCUUUGGGGUGAGAAGGGCGGCAUAUAAAUGUAGCAAAUAAAUAAAUAAAUAAAUUGUUGAACAAAAAAAAAUGAACAUAUAUUAUAUACUAUACAAUAGUUGUCAUCACAAACCAGCAUAACCAGACAAACUGUGAAUCUUAUCAAGAAUUUCUUGUUAUUACCAUUAUUUCCAUGUACAACACUCUAUGGUAUAUACAUUUACCAAUCCCGCAUACUCUGGUGUUCUGUUCGGCGGGCAUGCUUCCAAAAAAAAACUUUGCUAGGUCUUACUUUCAGGGGAGGCCUUAUAUUUAGCAAUUCAGCAAAAUCUCUACUAUGUCUUAUUUUCCAGGGAUGUCUUAUUUUCGGGGAAACAGGGUAAGAGACACCAUUUUAGUAUAUCAUUGUAUAUGAUGGGAUUUGAGCAUCCAUGGAUGUUGAUAUCCAGGAAGAAUAUCAGAACCAAACCCCAGUGAUACCAAGGGCCUACUGUAUUCAUUUGUAUCAAUCCUUCCAUUCCACUAUACAGUAGAGUCUCACUUAUCCAACAUAAACAGGCUGGCAGAACGUUGGAUAAGCAAAUAUGUUGGAUAAUAAGGAGAGAUUAAGAAAAAGCCUAUUAAACAUCAAAUUAGGUUAUGAUUUUACAAAUUAAGCACCAAAACAUCAUGUUAUACAACAAAUUUGACAGAAAAAGUAGUUCAUUACACAUUAAUGCUAUGUGGUAAUUACUGUAUUUACGAAUUUAGCAACAAAAUAUCAUGAUAUUUUGAAAACAUUGACUACAAAAAUGUGUUGGAUAAUCCAGAACGUUGGAUAAGUGAGACUCUACUGUACCUGCUAUCCUCAUUAAGUCUUUCACACUGUGGUGGGCAGUGGUUGAGAAAAGUACAAAGUCAAACAUACAACAAUAGCAACAACGGCAAGAGAGAAUGAAGGAGGUGCAGAAAGAGGAAGCCAUGAAUUGUGGUAGCUGUAACUUCAAUUCCAGAGCUGGGGAAAUCUAGUUCCUGAUAAACAUGAUUCAAAUUCUCUGAUAAUACUGGUCAUUUUUCAAAUGUUAUAGCAGAUCGUUUUGGAGUUAUUGUGGGCUUGGAUUUAUAUGACGUUGUUAUUGAGUUUAUAUACAGUGUUGGUUUGAUUAUUGUAUUGGGGCUCAAAACAUUUGGUGUGUUUACCCAAAACAUUUCCCUUCACAAGAUAGAUGACAAGCCCUACUCUAACUGAAUGUACAAUGGCUAAUCAUAAACAGUAGGUUUAUAAAGUGAUCUACUAUGUUUGGUACCUAGACUUGAAAUGCUGUCUAUCAGGAUGGAGGCUCAUCUUCCAUGACAAAGCCAAAGAGGAGAGGGGAAAGAGAGCAGAAGCAUGCUUUCAGUUGGAAAUGACAUCUGAGAGGGGGAGCUGGACUGGGAGGAGUAGUUGUAUUGUCUUUUGUAUGAGCCCAGUGCCAGAGUAAAUUUAGCAAAUGGCCUAAAACCAAUUGCUAAUCUCAUCCAGAGCAGCCCUAUUGUUUCAAUGUCAGACCAUGGACUGUGGAUGUUACCAGUAUUCCCUUGUGCCAACUACAUGAUCCAAAAGUUGAUUCUUGUUUCUCAUAUGUUGCUUAUAAAUAAGUGUUGUUUAAAAUAUUAAAUGAAUUUUGGCAUUAUAUUUUGGCAAUAUUAAAGGAUUUUAGCCAUGUCCCCCUUCACUGAUCUUUCCUAAGAUGCCUUAUACCAGUGGUUCAAUCUUUGACCCUCCAGGUGUUUUGGAUUUCAUCUUCCACAAUUCCUAACAGCUGGAACACUGGCCAGGAUUUCUGGGAGUCAGAAACUCCCAGAGGACCAGUUGGGAACCACUGCCUUAUACUAUAUCCUAUAAUAUCAAAUAUGAAAACUGAAGUCAUCUGCAGAUCAGCUAAGGAAAGAUGAAAAAGACAUAGUGUCUAUCCAAACAGGUCUGGGGAAUAUAUUAUUAAUAAUAAUAGUGCACAACCUGGAAAAGAAGCCCAUAAGUUCUACUUGCCUCUUCCCCUCCUGAGAAGAAAGCAGGAAGGAGGCAUAUAAUAUAUGCCUCCCUCCUGCUUUCUUCAAUAUUUUCAAAGCAUGGUCUCAGAAAAUACAUAAUGCAGUAACUUUGAUAGAGCUAAUUCCAUUAUGUAAUGAAUGCAAGAUGAACAUUCAAUAGAUAAACAAAGUAAUAUCUUGUGUGUAUGUGUACUCAACAAAGGGUGCAUUCUAGAGAUUAGAUGGUGCUACUUUUCAAUAUAUAGGUUUUCAAUAUAUAGACCAUAAAAGCAAAGUUCAUCAUGGAGGUAUGGCAAUAAUAUGUAUCUAGUUAAUUGUAGAGAAGGAAAUUUGGCUUAUAUGUACACUCCACCAAACCAACACCUUCCACAAGGAAUGUUGUAAAUCAGCUUUUUUCAAGAUGGUACCCUCAAAGUGUUACUCUUAUCAGCCUAUGACUUUUCCUCCUGAUGAUGUAAAAUGCAUAAUAAACACUGCCAUGGA
Molecule: long non-coding RNA, 5591 nt
Filed under: Anolis carolinensis (green anole)
Lineage: Eukaryota; Metazoa; Chordata; Lepidosauria; Squamata; Anolidae
Description: lncRNA (ENSACAG00000036854.1)
Source: RNAcentral